AGAGUUAAACAGUACGUGAAAUUGUUGAAAGGGAAACGAUUGAAGUCAGUCAUACCAACGGAAAAUCAACCUUUUGAGUUUGGUCUCGUGGGUUUUGAAGAGUUUAAAAGCCUUCAGAUUUUCAAGAUUGGGUUCUUCUGGUGUACUUUCUCAUAUGGUUAGUCAACAUCGGUUUUGAAUGUCAUAAAAUGACUGGAGGAAUGUGGCUUCGAUCUCGUAUUGAAGUGUUAUAGCCUUUGGUAGAUGUGAUGUUCGAGACUGAGGAUUGCAAUGGAUACCCUUCUGGGCUAUUCGUCUGAUCUCUGAAACGUUGCCUUGAUGUCGAAAGCUUGCUUAUGAUGUUAGGGUAUUAUGGUCAAAAGGUUAGAACAAAUUAAAUUCGUUAAUGAUGUUGACGUAAUAACUUUAAAUGACC
Molecule: non-coding RNA, 415 nt
Filed under: uncultured fungus
Lineage: Eukaryota; Fungi
Also listed under: 1 other name
Source: RNAcentral